Molecule: long non-coding RNA, 634 nt
Filed under: Vigna radiata
Lineage: Eukaryota; Viridiplantae; Streptophyta; Magnoliopsida; Fabales; Fabaceae
Description: long non-coding RNA (VRAD_LNC006920)
Source: RNAcentral
GGGAGAGAAACCACUAUUUACAAAUUUUAAAAUUUCCAAAAACUAAUGCUAAAACGAAAGACAAAAACCUACAAGGCUAACUCUACAACUCUAAGACUUAAGUCGCCAAAGUCCUCGACAAUGAUGUCAUUUGUUAAAAAGAAUUUGGUCGCACAAAAGCUCAACAAACCUAAAUUUUCCACUAAUGUAGUAUAGGGGAAACCUAGAGUAUCUAUCCAAGGACUUGGUACUUAUUAAGCUAGAAUUGUAGAAUUAAGCCUAAUUAUUUAUUUACUAAAACUAGGUGGGAAAAAGAUAAAAAUGAAAUUUAAAGAAAGAAACUAAAUGCUAAUGCGAACUAAUGUUUGUAUCUAUGAAUGCAUCAUACUUAAUAUAAAAUGAUGCAAAGGAGAAAAGGAUAAAACUAUAAUUUAUGCUAAAGGAAGAAUAAUGGAAUUCCUAAACUAAAAUGACGUAUUAAAAGAACCUAAAAUUCUAAGAAACUAAAGGCUAAAUACAUGAAAAACAAGGAUGAAUUGAUGCAUAUGAUUUGGAAAUGCAAAGAUCAAUACAAGAAGAGAAUCAGACUCCUAUUAGUAUACAACUACGUAAAGAAUCAAAACAAAACUGAUACAUUAGAAUUGGAAGAAAAAUG